UACGUAGGGGGCUAGCGUUGUCCGGAAUCAUUGGGCGUAAAGCGCGUGUAGGCGGCCCGGUAAGUCCGCUGUGAAAGUCGGGGGCUCAACCCUCGGAUGCCGGUGGAUACUGUCGGGCUAGAGUGCGGAAGAGGCGAGUGGAAUUCCUGGUGUAGCGGUGAAAUGCGCAGAUAUCAGGAAGAACACCCGUGGCGAAGGCGGCUCUCUGGGACGGUACUGACGCUGAGACGCGAAAGCGUGGGGAGCGAACAGG
This 253-nucleotide ribosomal RNA is filed under the name uncultured bacterium. RNAcentral's name for it is "partial 16S ribosomal RNA". It matches the Rfam family "Bacterial small subunit ribosomal RNA", at positions 524 to 776 of the family's 1533-position model. The record is from RNAcentral.